GAGGUGAUGAUAAUUUCCCCAGAUGAUCGAAUUUGACUAUACUGAGCUGUUUAUAUUUCCUCUCAUCAGAGGAAAUCAAGCCUAUUUUCUGAACCUU
This is a non-coding RNA of Brassica rapa (field mustard), 97 nucleotides long. The record is from Rfam. NCBI's taxonomy places the organism in Eukaryota, Viridiplantae, Streptophyta, Magnoliopsida, Brassicales, Brassicaceae.